UGAUGAGUAAUGUAUAGCAGAUUGAUAUUACUGCCCUAUGAAGGAAUCUGGACAGAGCCUGAUUAGCAGUGAGGAUCAAGAGGCUGAUGCAUGGGGAAGAAAUGAGGACAAGGAAUAGAAGACAGAUGACAGUGAUUUGGAGGAAGCUAAGGUCCCAACGGAGAGAUUUCCAUUGGAGGGUGAGACCGCACUUUUAAAGAUAGACACUGUUGAUAGAGAAGCACAAACUGAGGGACAGACAGAGGAGCAAGGAAUCUGGACAGGUGACCCUCUCCACCACAGAUUUCUCUGUGUGACAGUGGGUAAAUUUUAUGGCCCUUUUGAGCAAUGUCUGUCCUGUCAACUUAUCUAUCAACAAGAACACCACCAAAUACAGCUUAUACAGGGUCCAGAGAACAAGCAAAACAGAAAACCACGGAAACAGGUCAAAAUAAGUACCGAUAAAUAAGAUAUGCCUGCCACUGGGUCUACACCUGGAAUAUUAAAAACAUCAGAAGUGACCAAGAGUGACUUUGCAAAGUCAGCCUUGGAGUCCGUACUGACUGACACUUGUGGAGCAAAGUUUGCAAUGGUGGUAUCAGGAGAAAAGAAGGAUUCCUCUAUGCUGAAGGUGUUGCUUUUUCGCAAACAGGAAGCAAUGAUCGCUAAAGGGGAGUUCAUAUUACCACAGGAUCUACAGAUGGGACAAAAACGUAGGAGUAAUAUCGAAAUUCAACUUUUUACUCCUAAAUCUUCACAAUUACCAGCUCGAACUAUGGCGGUCCUAUGCAUCAGUCACCACUUCGAGGAGAUGGAGGAAUUGAUGUGGAAGGAUCAGUCCACAGAGGCUUGGAGUCUAGAGGAGCUUGUCUUGGAUGCUACAGGGUCUUGAGGACAUUAUGUGCUGACCGCUUCCUGAUGGACUUGCGAUAAAAGUUGCUUUUCUUUGCAAAUUUCUCCAUGAAGGACAGAUGAUAUGGAAUGGUCCAAUGAUGUGGAGUAUUCCAUGGCAAUGAAGUCAGACCCAUCCUUCGUGACA
Molecule: long non-coding RNA, 1018 nt
Organism: Rhincodon typus (whale shark)
Lineage: Eukaryota; Metazoa; Chordata; Chondrichthyes; Orectolobiformes; Rhincodontidae
Exons: 7
Source: RefSeq, a predicted model, not a curated record